GACGAACGCUGGCGGCGUGCCUAAUACAUGCAAGUAGAACGCUGAAGAGAGGAGCUUGCUCUUCUUGGAUGAGUUGCGAACGGGUGAGUAACGCGUAGGUAACCUGCCUUGUAGCGGGGGAUAACUAUUGGAAACGAUAGCUAAUACCGCAUAACAAUGGAUGACCCAUGUCAUUUAUUUGAAAGGGGCAAAUGCUCCACUACAAGAUGGACCUGCGUUGUAUUAGCUAGUAGGUGAGGUAACGGCUCACCUAGGCGACGAUACAUAGCCGACCUGAGAGGGUGAUCGGCCACACUGGGACUGAGACACGGCCCAGACUCCUACGGGAGGCAGCAGUAGGGAAUCUUCGGCAAUGGGGGCAACCCUGACCGAGCAACGCCGCGUGAGUGAAGAAGGUUUUCGGAUCGUAAAGCUCUGUUGUAAGUCAAGAACGAGUGUGAGAGUGGAAAGUUCACACUGUGACGGUAGCUUACCAGAAAGGGACGGCUAACUACGUGCCAGCAGCCGCGGUAAUACGUAGGUCCCGAGCGUUGUCCGGAUUUAUUGGGCGUAAAGCGAGCGCAGGCGGUUUGAUAAGUCUGAAGUUAAAGGCUGUGGCUCAACCAUAGUUCGCUUUGGAAACUGUCAAACUUGAGUGCAGAAGGGGAGAGUGGAAUUCCAUGUGUAGCGGUGAAAUGCGUAGAUAUAUGGAGGAACACCGGCGGCGAAAGCGGCUCUCUGGUCUGUAACUGACGCUGAGGCUCGAAAGCGUGGGGAGCGAACAGGAUUAGAUACCCUGGUAGUCCACGCCGUAAACGAUGAGUGCUAGGUGUUGGAUCCUUUCCGGGAUUCAGUGCCGCAGCUAACGCAUUAAGCACUCCGCCUGGGGAGUACGACCGCAAGGUUGAAACUCAAAGGAAUUGACGGGGGCCCGCACAAGCGGUGGAGCAUGUGGUUUAAUUCGAAGCAACGCGAAGAACCUUACCAGGUCUUGACAUCCCGAUGCUAUUUCUAGAGAUAGAAAGUUACUUCGGUACAUCGGUGACAGGUGGUGCAUGGUUGUCGUCAGCUCGUGUCGUGAGAUGUUGGGUUAAGUCCCGCAACGAGCGCAACCCCUAUUGUUAGUUGCCAUCAUUCAGUUGGGCACCCUAGCGAGACUGCCGGUAAUAAACCGGAGGAAGGUGGGGAUGACGUCAAAUCAUCAUGCCCCUUAUGACCUGGGCUACACACGUGCUACAAUGGUUGGUACAACGAGUUGCGAGUCGGUGACGGCAAGCUAAUCUCUUAAAGCCAAUCUCAGUUCGGAUUGUAGGCUGCAACUCGCCUGCAUGAAGUCGGAAUCGCUAGUAAUCGCGGAUCAGCACGCCGCGGUGAAUACGUUCCCGGGCCU
RNAcentral lists this ribosomal RNA (1369 nucleotides) under uncultured bacterium. Its description in RNAcentral is "bacterial SSU rRNA". It matches the Rfam family "Bacterial small subunit ribosomal RNA", at positions 28 to 1381 of the family's 1533-position model. The record is from RNAcentral.